RNAcentral lists this ribosomal RNA (240 nucleotides) under uncultured Gardnerella sp. RNAcentral's name for it is "partial 16S ribosomal RNA". It matches the Rfam family "Bacterial small subunit ribosomal RNA", at positions 121 to 355 of the family's 1533-position model. The record is from RNAcentral. Lineage: Bacteria; Bacillati; Actinomycetota; Actinomycetes; Bifidobacteriales; Bifidobacteriaceae.
CCAACCUCGCCCCAUGCCUCCAAGAAUAGCUUCGUUAGGAAACGGGUGGUAAUGCUGGAUGCUCCAACUUGACGCAUGUCUUGUUGGGAAAGUGUUUAGUGGCAUGGGAUGGGGUCGCGUCCUAUCAGCUUGUAGGCGGGGUAAUGGCCCACCUAGGCUUCGACGGGUAGCCGGCCUGAGAGGGCGGACGGCCACAUUGGGACUGAGAUACGGCCCAGACUCCUACGGGAGGCAGCAGCC